CAGCCGCCGCGGUAAUACGAAGGGUGCAAGCGUUAAUCGGAAUUACUGGGCGUAAAGCGUGCGUAGGCGGUUUGUUAAGUCUGCUGUGAAAUCCCCGGGCUCAACCUGGGAAUGGCAGUGGAUACUGGCAAGCUAGAGUGUGUUAGAGGAUGGUGGAAUUCCCGGUGUAGCGGUGAAAUGCGUAGAGAUCGGGAGGAACAUCAGUGGCGAAGGCGGCCAUCUGGGACAACACUGACGCUGAGGCACGAAAGCGUGGGGAGCAAACAGGAUUAGAUACCCGUGUAGUCCCUGUCUCUUAUAC
This 301-nucleotide ribosomal RNA is filed under the name uncultured bacterium. Its description in RNAcentral is "partial 16S ribosomal RNA". It matches the Rfam family "Bacterial small subunit ribosomal RNA", at positions 509 to 807 of the family's 1533-position model. The record is from RNAcentral.